AUCAUUUAUUGUGUUAUAAAAUUCCAUCAUUAUUACCGAUCGUUUCUAAAACAAGUGGUAAAAGAUUUGAAAGUUGGUAUCUCAAGUUCGAAUCCUAAUUGAUUCACAUUUCUAGCUAAGUUUAUUUCUAAAGAAAAUAAAUGAAACGGAUAGCGUGCUAUCUAUCUCCAAAAAAAAGAAAAUUCCAUCAUUAUUUCUCCAGAGUAAAAAAAAGAAAAAAAAAAUGUACGGAGAUCUCCUAAACUUUAGCGCCGCUAUUCUAA
This 263-nucleotide long non-coding RNA is filed under the name Ananas comosus (pineapple). RNAcentral's name for it is "long non-coding RNA (ACOM_LNC044193)". Lineage: Eukaryota; Viridiplantae; Streptophyta; Magnoliopsida; Poales; Bromeliaceae. The record is from RNAcentral.